GCGCGGGUAGUUCAGUGGUAGAACGCUACUCUGAUAAAGUAGAAGUGGGAGGUUCGAUUCCUCCUCCGCGCA
Molecule: transfer RNA, 72 nt
Filed under: Candidatus Tagabacteria bacterium CG10_big_fil_rev_8_21_14_0_10_40_13
Lineage: Bacteria; Candidatus Tagaibacteriota
Description: tRNA-Ile
Rfam family: tRNA
About the family: Transfer RNA (tRNA) molecules are approximately 80 nucleotides in length.
Source: RNAcentral